This 835-nucleotide ribosomal RNA is filed under the name Catellatospora sp. IM-7774. RNAcentral's name for it is "bacterial SSU rRNA". It matches the Rfam family "Bacterial small subunit ribosomal RNA", at positions 38 to 889 of the family's 1533-position model. Lineage: Bacteria; Bacillati; Actinomycetota; Actinomycetes; Micromonosporales; Micromonosporaceae. The record is from RNAcentral.
GGCGGCGUGCUUAACACAUGCAAGUCGAGCGGAAAGGCCCUUCGGGGUACUCGAGCGGCGAACGGGUGAGUAACACGUGAGUAACCUGCCCCGGGCUCUGGGAUAACUGUCGGAAACGAUGGCUAAUACCGGAUAUACACAUUUGGCCGCAUGGUUGGUGUGGAAAGUUUUGCGGCUUGGGAUGGGCUCGCGGCCUAUCAGCUUGUUGGUGGGGUGAUGGCCUACCAAGGCUUCGACGGGUAGCCGGCCUGAGAGGGCGACCGGCCACACUGGGACUGAGACACGGCCCAGACUCCUACGGGAGGCAGCAGUGGGGAAUAUUGCACAAUGGGCGGAAGCCUGAUGCAGCGACGCCGCGUGAGGGAUGACGGCCUUCGGGUUGUAAACCUCUUUCAGCAGGGACGAAGCGCAAGUGACGGUACCUGCAGAAGAAGCGCCGGCCAACUACGUGCCAGCAGCCGCGGUAAGACGUAGGGCGCGAGCGUUGUCCGGAUUUAUUGGGCGUAAAGAGCUCGUAGGCGGCUCGUUGCGUCAACCGUGAAAACCCGGGGCUUAACUUCGGGCUUGCGGUUGAUACGGGCAGGCUGGAGUUCGGUAGGGGAGACUGGAAUUCCUGGUGUAGCGGUGAAAUGCGCAGAUAUCAGGAGGAACACCGGUGGCGAAGGCGGGUCUCUGGGCCGAUACUGACGCUGAGGAGCGAAAGCGUGGGGAGCGAACAGGAUUAGAUACCCUGGUAGUCCACGCUGUAAACGUUGGGCGCUAGGUGUGGGGGGCCUCUCCGGUUUCCUGUGCCGUAGCUAACGCAUUAAGCGCCCCGCCUGGGGAGUACGGCCGC